Non-coding RNA from Gossypium raimondii (Peruvian cotton), 122 nucleotides. The record is from Rfam. NCBI's taxonomy places the organism in Eukaryota, Viridiplantae, Streptophyta, Magnoliopsida, Malvales, Malvaceae.
AAUAGGAGAAUGACAAAUCAAAUUUUUCCUGUGAUAUUUAACUUUUUCCUUCUGAAAAAAUUCAAAUCCAACUAAAAAUGCUAAAAAUCAGGAGGAAAAAUUUAAUUUGUCAUUCUCCUAGG